Molecule: long non-coding RNA, 487 nt
Filed under: Myripristis murdjan (pinecone soldierfish)
Lineage: Eukaryota; Metazoa; Chordata; Actinopteri; Holocentriformes; Holocentridae
Description: lncRNA (ENSMMDG00005020520.1)
Source: RNAcentral
AAGCUGUAAUAUAUUUGGUAAUAAAUCACAAUCAAUCUAAUGUGUGCUGGUGUGAUUUACCUCGGCGCUGGGCGGGUCACAGAGGCCACAACAGGCUGGCGAUUGAUAAUAGCACAAUUUCCGACAGAGACCGCACCUUGAAGGCGGCGUGUGCUGUCCAGCCGCUCCACCCAGUGAGCAUUGGCACCUCGGUCCAGUCUAGGCGCUGGGGCUGGAUCCUGCACUCUGCCAGGGAGCACCUCUGUUAUGAACACACAGUAAACCUGGGAUCAGCGGCUGGACCAAGUACGGAGAUGAUGUGGCGUCUUGUGAUCCUGCUAGGAGUUGCCCUCACUGUGGACUGCUAUGCCGUCCGUGACAUACAUGAGCGCUUGGCCCACGGUCGCCAGCUGAAGAUCUACCUGCCCAAGAGUGCAGAGAAGCUGGAGUUCACACCAGCGGAUGAACCCGGCCAGACAUUUCUGUACUGGGAGAAUGGGAGACACAG